Molecule: ribosomal RNA, 484 nt
Filed under: uncultured bacterium
Lineage: Bacteria
Description: bacterial SSU rRNA
Rfam family: Bacterial small subunit ribosomal RNA
Source: RNAcentral
AUUGAACGCUGGCGGCAUGCCUUACACAUGCAAGUCGAACGGCAGCACGGGAGCAAUCCUGGUGGCGAGUGGCGAACGGGUGAGUAAUAUAUCGGAACGUGCCCAGUAGUGGGGGAUAGCCCGGCGAAAGCCGGAUUAAUACCGCAUACGACCUAAGGGUGAAAGCGGGGGAUCGCAAGACCUCGCGCUAUUGGAGCGGCCGAUAUCAGAUUAGCUAGUUGGUGGGGUAAAAGCUCACCAAGGCGACGAUCUGUAGCUGGUCUGAGAGGACGACCAGCCACACUGGGACUGAGACACGGCCCAGACUCCUACGGGAGGCAGCAGUGGGGAAUUUUGGACAAUGGGCGCAAGCCUGAUCCAGCCAUGCCGCGUGUGGGAAGAAGGCCUUCGGGUUGUAAACCACUUUUGUCAGGGAAGAAACGGUCCUUACUAAUAUUAGGGGCUAAUGACGGUACCUGAAGAAUAAGCACCGGCUAACUACGUG